GACGAACGCUGGCGGCGUGCUUAACACAUGCAAGUCGAGCGGUAAGGCCCUUUCGGGGGUACACGAGCGGCGAACGGGUGAGUAACACGUGGGUGACCUGCCCUCAGCUCUGGGAUAAGCCUGGGAAACUGGGUCUAAUACCGGAUAUGACUCCAUGACGCAUGUUGUGGGGUGGAAAGCCUUGUGCGGCUGAGGAUGGGCCCGCGGCCUAUCAGCUUGUUGGUGGGGUGANGGCCUACCAAGGCGACGACGGGUAGCCGGCCUGAGAGGGCGACCGGCCACACUGGGACUGAGACACGGCCCAGACUCCUACGGGAGGCAGCAGUGGGGAAUCUUGCGCAAUGGGCGAAAGCCUGACGCAGCGACGCCGCGUGAGGGAUGACGGCC
This 387-nucleotide ribosomal RNA is filed under the name uncultured bacterium. RNAcentral's name for it is "bacterial SSU rRNA". It matches the Rfam family "Bacterial small subunit ribosomal RNA", at positions 28 to 416 of the family's 1533-position model. The record is from RNAcentral.